AAACGUAGACCCAAUAGCUCUAUGCCUAUACCAAAGUUUUAGUCAAAAUAUUUUCUCCUCGUAUGCGCGCAGUGGAUGAGAAUAUAUAGAAAUGUUCAUGCAGAGGCAGGCUCAAUCACUCUAUAACCACUAAUGUUUGGAAGAUGAUCAUAUUUUCUCAUGAACAAAUAGAGACAUCCAUCCUGAAAUUUAAGAAAAACAAAUAAGUUGCCUACGAACCCUAUUCAAAACAUGUUUCCUGUUGCCUUUCGUUCCUAGAAUUUCAUAAAUUGUGGA
This 276-nucleotide long non-coding RNA is filed under the name Oryza brachyantha (malo sina). RNAcentral's name for it is "long non-coding RNA (OBRA_LNC002417)". The record is from RNAcentral. Lineage: Eukaryota; Viridiplantae; Streptophyta; Magnoliopsida; Poales; Poaceae.